AAUAGGGGGACGCAAAAUUGUCUUAUUUUUGUUGUUUAAUUCGUCGUAAAUUAAAUUCGCUCGUAAUUUUACUGUCCUAAAAUAUUAUAAGUGAUUUUGCUCUAGGCUAAACAAUAAUUAAAAAGGUUAAUUGAUGUAUUUUUUUUGUUUUCUUAUGUACUAGUGUUAAUAUUUUUAGAAAAAUAGUGCAAAAGUGGGAUAAUUAUAGUUUCAAAAUUAUUGACUUUCUAUCAAAUAAAAAAGAGGAAGAAAAAAAAUUCAUCUGAACUUUAAUUCAAUUGAAAGUUAUUUUUAACAUGAAAAUCAGUUGUAAAUUUUUUUUUAUCUGAACUUUAAUUCAAUUAAUUGUGUCAUACUCAUAUUCAGUUUUGCUUAACAAUAUUCAAUUAAGAGUGAUGUAAUUAUAAUUUUACAGAUAUACUGCUGUGUUUUCAACUACGUUCAAUUUAAUUAUAUAUCAGAAUACAAAAACUCAUAUAUAAUUUUUGAAUUUGUUGUAGUUGCAUUUAUA
RNAcentral lists this long non-coding RNA (511 nucleotides) under Ananas comosus (pineapple). Its description in RNAcentral is "long non-coding RNA (ACOM_LNC014525)". The record is from RNAcentral. Lineage: Eukaryota; Viridiplantae; Streptophyta; Magnoliopsida; Poales; Bromeliaceae.